RNAcentral lists this unclassified non-coding RNA (2297 nucleotides) under Hevea brasiliensis (rubber tree). The record is from RNAcentral. Lineage: Eukaryota; Viridiplantae; Streptophyta; Magnoliopsida; Malpighiales; Euphorbiaceae.
GUUUGCCUAGCCAGUAAAGGGGUUGAGACGGGUUUGCAAUGAGUCAUAUUGGCCCUUGUUGAGAGGUCCUUAGCAUACUUGCCUUGGCUUACCAUUGGUGCAUACAGAAACCUCAAUGUUGAGAAAAUAAUGCAAAGGUGCCAUAUCUGUCAUUGCAAAUAGUUUUCAAAGAAUUUAUUAGUUUGGUCAAUAAAGAGUACAUGAAGUGGUAAGGAUGAUAUCAGCCACAUAUAGCAACAAGAUAGCCAUUUGCCAAUUGGCUCUAUAGACAAACAUAGAGUAGUCAAAAUGACUACCAACAAAUCCAAUACAACAAGGAAAAUCAGUAAAUCUCUUAAACCAAGCUCGUGGAGCCUGUUGUAGACAGUACAAUGGCUUUUGAAGUUUACACAAAUUUUGGUUUGUAGAAUCAACAGAACCACAAGGCUGUUGCACAUAUACUUCUUCCUUCAAAUGACCAUGCAAGAACGCAUGUUUCACAUCUAGUUGAUGUAUCAGCCAACAAUUGGUUACUGCCAAUGAGAGGGCAACUCAAACGGUAGUGGGUUUCACAAUUUGAUUGAAUGUUUCCUCAAAGUCUAUCUCAGGUUGUUGUGGAAAACGCUGAGCCACUAGCUUGGCUUUGUACCUUUCAACAGUGCCAUCUGUUUGAAGUUUCAAUCUGUAUAUCCAUUUGCAGCCUACAAUGCUUGUUAGGAGAUGGUGGAGGAACAAGUACCAAUGUGUUAUUAGACUAUAAUGCUGCAAACUCUUUCAUCAUGGUUGCUUGCCGAUUCUCAUCCUUAACAGCCUGGUUGCAUGUCUUAGGUUCAGUCAAUGGUUUGUUGGUUGAUCUAGUCUGUGUUUCAGUUUCAUGAAGAAGAGUGAAUUUCUGUUUAGGUUUUGUGGUUCCAACUUGUGAAGGUGUUAUAAUUGGAUGAGUUAUGGUAUUGACUAGAGUGGUUGGUUCAACAAAUGAAGGUUGGGUUGUUGUUCAAAUUUGAUUUUCGGUGGUUAGAGAAGAAGGAUUGGAAAUGUUAUCCAAUUGAUCAUGGAUAAUAAGCUGAUGAGGAUUGUCAAUGGUUUGAACUGGUGGGUUUGAAGUGGUUGUAUGAGAUAGAGGAUGUGGGAAAAUUGAUAAGGGAGAGUAGGAUAGGAUAUUGGUAUCAUGCUGAGUUGAGAGGAUAGAAUAUGAUUGGUAUAAGACUGUUGCACUUGACUUGGAUUCACAAAGUACCUGAAUGAGAUAAGGAAGAGACUGGUACAUUAGCAACAUCCUUGGCAACCAAUUUAAAUGUAAAACAAUUUUCCACAAAUUUGUUGAAUUCUAUUUUCAUGGGCAGAAAGAAAAGAUUGUAUCCAAUGUGGAUAGUAAAAGCUGUUUGGCAAUCAUCACUGGUGAUUACAUCGGAGUAGGUAUCAUUGGGAAGGCUAGAAAGGAUUUGAAGGGUCUGUUGCGGAAACUGGAUGUCCAAUCGAGUAGAGAGAAUCAACAAUGGAUUUGACAUAUUGAAUGUAUUCAGUCUGGUACCUUCAGAAGCUUGGCUGAAAUUCAGUUUUAGUUGCAUGUAUUUGGCUGACUCAUGAUCUUGAAAAAGCUUUUCUAUUUUACUUCAUGUUUGGUGAGGAGUUGAUCCUAGAAUCAAUACAUGUUUUAACAAUUCUUCAGAUAUCAUGGCACGGAGCCGGGAGAUAAUAACACAAUCAAUUUGUUGCCAAGACGAGAAGAGUGGAUUCAAGACAAGAUUUCCAUUUUCAUUGUGAAGAUAUUGAGGAGAACAAGAGGAGCCAUAGACAUGAUCUGGAACUCAAUAACAUUGCAGAAUAUUUUGAAACGAAGAUUUUCAAAUGAGGUAAUUUGAAAAGUCUUAUGUGGCAGGAAUAUGAUUUUUUAUGUUUGUGACAGCCAAUAUUGAUGGUGGGGAUUUGGAGAUAGGGAUGAUAGGAGAAGUGAGAAGAAGACUGAACAAAGAAGAAAUUGAAGAGGAAGACAAGGAGGAGUUAGGAGGAUCAGUUGAAGGAAGAGGAGGUUCAGUUAAGUUUGCCAUUUGAAAAGAAAAUAGGCAUGAUACCAUGUGAAAGAGGGAUUGAAUUGCUAUCCUCUAGAUGGUAUUUUUCCCACACAUAUUACAAUGAUAAAUGAUACAAGGAGCCUAUAAGAAACUAUAUUUUUAUGUAAGAACAUCAGUAGCUGUUACAUUAGUUUUUGCAUCAUUUCACAUGAUCAUACCAAUUUCGCAUAGGCAUAACUCAACUAGAGUCUUUCUUGUUUGUUUGACACAUCUUUCUGACUAGAAGUUCUUUCUAAUGCGAUGCAG